CGAAAGCCUGAUGGAGCGACGCUGCGUGGGGGAUGAAUGGCUUCGGCUCGUAAACCCCUGUCAUUUGCGAUCAACCGUUAUUAUUUAAAAGAUGAUAACCUGAUAGUAGCGAAAGAGGAAGGGACGGCUAACUCUGUGCCAGCAGCCGCGGUAAUACAGAGGUCCCAAGCGUUGUUCGGAUUUACUCGGCGUAAAGGGUGCGUAGGUGGCGGUGUAAGUCGGAUGUGAAAUCUCCGAGCUCAACUCGGAAACUGCAUUGGAAACUACAUUGCUCGAGGGUUGGAGGGGGGACUGGAAUACUUGGUGUAGCAGUGCAAUGCGUAGAUAUCAAGUGGAACACCAGAGGCGAAGGCGAGUCCCUGGACAACUCCUGACACUGAGGCACGAAAGCUAGGGGAGCAAACAG
This 406-nucleotide ribosomal RNA is filed under the name uncultured bacterium. Its description in RNAcentral is "bacterial SSU rRNA". It matches the Rfam family "Bacterial small subunit ribosomal RNA", at positions 376 to 775 of the family's 1533-position model. The record is from RNAcentral.